CCUACGGGAGGCAGCAGUGGGGAAUAUUGCACAAUGGGCGCAAGCCUGAUGCAGCAACGCCGCGUGAGGGACGACGGCCUUCGGGUUGUAAACCUCUUUUAGUAGGGAAGAAGCGAAAGUGACGGUACCUGCAGAAAAAGCACCGGCUAACUACGUGCCAGCAGCCGCGGUAAUACGUAGGGUGCAAGCGUUGUCCGGAAUUAUUGGGCGUAAAGAGCUCGUAGGCGGUUUGUCGCGUCUGCUGUGAAAACCUGAGGCUCAACCUCAGACCUGCAGUGGGUACGGGCAGACUAGAGUGCGGUAGGGGAGAUUGGAAUUCCUGGUGUAGCGGUGGAAUGCGCAGAUAUCAGGAGGAACACCGAUGGCGAAGGCAGAUCUCUGGGCCGUAACUGACGCUGAGGAGCGAAAGCAUGGGGAGCGAACAGGAUUAGAUACCCUGGUAGUCCAUGCCGUAAACGUUGGGAACUAGAUGUAGGGACCAUUCCACGGUUUCUGUGUCGCAGCUAACGCAUUAAGUUCCCCGCCUGGGGAGUACGGCCGCAAGGCUAAAACUUAAUGAAUUGACGG
Molecule: ribosomal RNA, 567 nt
Filed under: uncultured bacterium
Lineage: Bacteria
Description: bacterial SSU rRNA
Rfam family: Bacterial small subunit ribosomal RNA
Source: RNAcentral